Molecule: long non-coding RNA, 2125 nt
Organism: Bos indicus x Bos taurus (hybrid cattle)
Lineage: Eukaryota; Metazoa; Chordata; Mammalia; Artiodactyla; Bovidae
Source: Ensembl
UGAUCUAUAAAUUUCAAGUUUGAGAAUUUAAGAGUUAAAACUUAAGACUUUCAACCAGCUCCUUUAUUUUCAGAUGGGAGAACAGAGACCCUGAGGAAAUCACCAAAGAGAACACAACCAGAAAGCUGGAAAGCCAGAACCAAAGGCUGGCCUUGCUGUUCUUUCUGCUCCACAUCUCUGUCCUUCAAUAGGCGUAUCUUUUUCUAGAGAGGAAACAUGAUGCACUGGCAAAACUUUAGUCUACAAAGGAUCAUGAGUCCAUAAGCUGCAACUGUUGCUUUGAAAAGGCAGAAGUAAAAGAAGAGUUGAUGGAGAUACCAGACAUGAAAGGGAUGUAAGUUCUGGGCUUUCCAAUAAUAAGCCAUCCUCCUCCAGAUGAUUUUAAUAAUCUCCAGCACAUGUGUUCUAACCCCUUGAUGCUGUACAAUAUGUGUAACCAAAUAAAAGAUCUCUCCAGAUUCAGAGAUUUACUGUUUGUGAUGGGAAAAGGCCAACCAGAUGACAUCAUUUAUAUUCCAAAUAUGAGCUGCUGCCAAAGCUGGUGAUGUUAAGCUGGAGAAAUUGAUCCUCAACAUUAUUCUAUGAAGGAAAAAAGAAAAAGGUCUUGGCCUAGAUAGUAUCAUUUUUAAAAAUUUAUGUGACUACAAAGACAAGUUUAAUAAACUUCUAUUUUAUCUAGAAUUGCUUAAGUCCAAUGUGUGGGUUGUUUAGGCACACAAUCACUUCCAUAUAUUGCAAGUUACCAGGUUAGGGACUAAGAGUUAUCAUUUUGUUGUUGCUAUUGAAUGCUGUUGAAUUGGUGGGGAGAUUGACCUGAGGCUGUCUGCUCCAGCAGAGCACGCAGCUUUCAGGGCUGUGCUCACUUGUUCCAAAUCAAAGGUCCCCAGUUUAUAUGUGCAGUAUAAUAGUCUCUGCUCCCAUUUCUCAACUUCUUCAUGUCUAACACAAUCAUGGUUUCUUUUUUUUUCUUCAGGUAUCAACAUCCUGCACUACCAUGAGAUACAGGGAGAGUUGGCCCCAUUACCAGUUACAAAGGGAUCGUGGAGGGUGGUGUGGUUUGCUCGCCAUGUGAACUCAAGUGAGUCAUUUCAAGUCUCUGAAGCUGCUUCCUCAUGUAUGAAAUGAAACUCAAAAUCUCUACCCUGUCUACCUCUGAGGUUGUUUGUGGAACUGAGUCAGGAAAGAGAGAGAAGAUUCCUUAAAACUCUGUGGAAAUACAAGGAUUCUUUAUUAUCAGGGGUUUCUGGAGGGAGUACAAGGAAGGUAUGUUGCUGUCUUCACAGAUCAACACCAACAUUUUCAAAAUCAAGUUGACACAUACAAAUUAAUAGUCCCAUCUUGAUAUGCUCACUGGACAAGAACAAGCAGAGACACUAAAGCACCGGCUGACCUGCUCACCCUGGCCCCAUCCCACUUCCUGCAAGUGCGUGUUUGUGGUUUUGGACAGCUUGCGCUGAGAAGUGAUCAGCUUUGAUUUUCUUUCUUUUUUUCCCACACAGCCAUAGAUUAGCCUACUGUCAUUCUGAAUAGAUAUGAAGACUGAAAUGUCAAUUUUAAUAGUGAUGGUGAGAGCAAAUUAAUAUACAGUGAAUCUGAUUGAGCUAAAUAUUACUGGCAGUAAUUUUAUCAUGAUCAUUUUUAUGACUAUAGCGUUCUAAAGAAAUAGAACUUGUAGGUUUGUUGGUGGUUCUCUUUCCCGUAGACAGCCAAGCAGAGCGUUUUCCUCUGAUCCUGGUGGAGUAGAAAGGUGAUAGGUUUUAGCCUAUCUUAGGCUAAAAUAGAACUCAGGCAAUUCUGAGUUCCAACCUUGAUCAAAUUACUUACUUUCUACUUAUGUAUUAUAACAGACCACUUUUUUUGUCAAACAUUUUUAGUUGCACUUUCGUAUCUUACAAAUCUUGUUGCUUGCAGGCCUUCUCACUCUUUGAAACAAUGAAAUUCAGGGCUUUGGGGAGAAGCCCAGUACCUUUAUAAAACAACAGAGCUAUUGCUCAAUUUUGACUUAAUGUUAGGCAUCUGAGUCCAUAGCAAGUUAAAAGUUUAAGGGGAGUUUUUUGGAGGAAGAAUACAGCAGUUAGGAUUUGCAUUCGGUUUCAUGUCACAGAAAUCUGGCUAGUAAGACUUU